CACUAGUUGUGACUAAACCAUAGAAUGAACUGACACUGACAGUCGAGUCGCGUAGUUGGGUUGGGUAUGUGUGUGUGUAUGUGAAAUAAACAUUACUAUUUGUGCUUAAAUUUCAAAAACUUCCAGGAAUUAAUAAUAUGAAUGAUUUCGUCAAGCGAUAAUAAAUCUGGCGAAACCGGCGACCGA
This is a long non-coding RNA of Leptinotarsa decemlineata (Colorado potato beetle), 186 nucleotides long. The record is from RefSeq and is a predicted model, not a curated record. Lineage: Eukaryota; Metazoa; Arthropoda; Insecta; Coleoptera; Chrysomelidae.